GGAUGUUCAUUUUCCUUUUCCCUUGUAAUAAUCAAUAAUGCUGUACUUCUUUGUCUCGAAUAUAUAUUUGAUGAGAUAUUUUCCAUAUGCUAUUAAAUGCUUAAAUUUCAAAAUUUGCAAAUAGAACCCUAAAAGUUCCUUGAAAUAAAAACAAAGCAUAUGCACGAGCAUUGCAUGCAUCAUUUGCAUAAGCAGGUGUUGU
This 202-nucleotide long non-coding RNA is filed under the name Lathyrus oleraceus (garden pea). Its description in RNAcentral is "Pisum sativum (pea) long non-coding RNA (PSAT_LNC013430)". Lineage: Eukaryota; Viridiplantae; Streptophyta; Magnoliopsida; Fabales; Fabaceae. The record is from RNAcentral.